This 380-nucleotide RNase P RNA is filed under the name Candidatus Portnoybacteria bacterium CG03_land_8_20_14_0_80_41_10. Its description in RNAcentral is "RNase P RNA component class A". It matches the Rfam family "Bacterial RNase P class A". From Rfam's summary of the family: Ribonuclease P (RNase P) is a ubiquitous endoribonuclease, found in archaea, bacteria and eukarya as well as chloroplasts and mitochondria. Its best characterised activity is the generation of mature 5'-ends of tRNAs by cleaving the 5'-leader elements of precursor-tRNAs. Lineage: Bacteria; Candidatus Portnoyibacteriota. The record is from RNAcentral.
CCAAGUAAGCGGGUAGCCGCUCUGCGUUAACGCAGGGAGGAAAGUCCGGGCGCCAAAUCCGCCUUAGGCGGAGGAAAGAGGCAGUGGGUAAUGCCCACCGUUCGCAAGAAUAGGGAAAGUGCCACAGAGACAAUACUUCUCCAUUUUAGGGGCAAUCUCCUAAAAAGGGGUAAAGGUGAAAAGUGAGGGAUUAAGACCCCUCUCGUCUAGUGGAAACACUAUGAUGCGGUAAACCCUGUCUGGCGCAAGAGCAAACUCGGUCGCUUUAUUUGACCGAAGAAAAGUAGCUCGCUUGACCCGUUAGGCGACUAACGAGGCAGAUAGAUGGCUACCUCCGCCAACUGGCGGAACAGAACCCGGCUUAUAGCUUGCUUGGGCUU